Molecule: non-coding RNA, 348 nt
Organism: Pelobates cultripes (western spadefoot toad)
Lineage: Eukaryota; Metazoa; Chordata; Amphibia; Anura; Pelobatidae
Source: the annotation of a GenBank genome assembly
CGGUAUGUACACUUUCACUUUUUAUUGCAAUUUACCAAACAAAUAAAUAAAUAAAAUCAGAUAAAAACUCUUGUAUAAAAUCACAAUGCGUUUCACCAACAAGCUUUUUCAAGUGACGAUGCUUUUUAUUUAUUUAUUUUAUCAUUUCACCUUUGGUUAUACAAUAUCACACUAUUGGUUCUCCCUAUAUGUUUAUUGUCUUGACAUUUCACGAAACCUAUAUGAAUCUGUGAGGAUAUUAGACUAUUCUUGCAAAUAGCAUAUCCACCAAGAUUCCUUCUACAUCACAAAUACUAUUUUGGGACUAUACUGUACCAUUUUCAAACCAAUCUUAAAGGAUUACUAUAG